This 692-nucleotide ribosomal RNA is filed under the name Kocuria rosea. Its description in RNAcentral is "bacterial SSU rRNA". It matches the Rfam family "Bacterial small subunit ribosomal RNA", at positions 102 to 806 of the family's 1533-position model. Lineage: Bacteria; Bacillati; Actinomycetota; Actinomycetes; Micrococcales; Micrococcaceae. The record is from RNAcentral.
ACGGGUGAGUAAUACGUGAGUAACCUGCCCUUGACUCUGGGAUAAGCCUGGGAAACUGGGUCUAAUACUGGAUACUACCUCCUGCCGCAUGGUGGGUGGUGGAAAGGGUUUUACUGGUUUUGGAUGGGCUCACGGCCUAUCAGCUUGUUGGUGGGGUAAUGGCUCACCAAGGCGACGACGGGUAGCCGGCCUGAGAGGGUGACCGGCCACACUGGGACUGAGACACGGCCCAGACUCCUACGGGAGGCAGCAGUGGGGAAUAUUGCACAAUGGGCGGAAGCCUGAUGCAGCGACGCCGCGUGAGGGAUGACGGCCUUCGGGUUGUAAACCUCUUUCAGUAGGGAAGAAGCGAGAGUGACGGUACCUGCAGAAGAAGCGCCGGCUAACUACGUGCCAGCAGCCGCGGUAAUACGUAGGGCGCAAGCGUUGUCCGGAAUUAUUGGGCGUAAAGAGCUCGUAGGCGGUUUGUCGCGUCUGCUGUGAAAGCCCGGGGCUCAACCCCGGGUCUGCAGUGGGUACGGGCAGACUAGAGUGCAGUAGGGGAGACUGGAAUUCCUGGUGUAGCGGUGAAAUGCGCAGAUAUCAGGAGGAACACCGAUGGCGAAGGCAGGUCUCUGGGCUGUUACUGACGCUGAGGAGCGAAAGCAUGGGGAGCGAACAGGAUUAGAUACCCUGGUAGUCCAUGCCGUAAA